Molecule: ribosomal RNA, 447 nt
Filed under: uncultured bacterium
Lineage: Bacteria
Description: partial 16S ribosomal RNA
Rfam family: Bacterial small subunit ribosomal RNA
Source: RNAcentral
AGCGAACGCUGGCGGCAGGCUUUACACAUGCAAGUCGAACGCCCCUUCGGGGGAGUGGCAGACGGGUGAGUAACGCGUGGGAAUUUGCCUUUUGGUGGGGAAUAACGCAGGGAAACUUGCGCUAAUACCGCAUAAGCCCGUGAGGGGAAAGAUUUAUCGCCAAAAGAUAAGCCCGCGUCUGAUUAGCUAGUUGGUGAGGUAAUGGCUCACCAAGGCGACGAUCAGUAGCUGGUCUGAGAGGAUGACCAGCCACACUGGGACUGAGACACGGCCCAGAUUCCUACGGGAGGCAGCAGUGGGGAAUAUUGGACAAUGGGCGCAAGCCUGAUCCAGCCAUGCCGCGUGAGUGAUGAAGGCCUUAGGGUUGUAAAGCUCUUUCGUGUGGGAAGAUAAUGACUGUACCACAAGAAUAAGUCCCGGCUAACUUCGUGCCAGCAGCCGCCGUAA